GAUGAAUAAGGGGUGGGCAAGUUCUGGUGUCAGCCGCCGCGGUAAAACCAGCACCUCAAGUGGUCAGGAGGAUUAUUGGGCCUAAAGCAUCCGUAGCCUGCUUUGUUAGUUUUCGGUUAAAUCUAUGUGCUCAACGCAUAGGCCGCCGAAAAUACUGCAGGGCUAGGGAGUGGGAGAGGUAGACGGUACUCAGUAGGAAGGGGUAAAAUCCUUUGAUCUAUUGAUGACCACCUGUGGCGAAGGCGGUCUACCAGAACACGUUCGACGGUGAGGGAUGAAAGCUGGGGGAGCAAACCGGAUUAGAUACCCGGGUAGUCCCAGCUGUAAACGAUGCAGACUCGGUAAUGCAUUGGCAUAUAGCUAGUGCAGUGUCGCAGGAAAGCCGUUAAGUCUGCCGCCUGGGAAGUACGUACGCAAGUAUGAAACUUAAAGGAAUUGGCGGGGGAGCACCACAAGCAGGGAAGCCUGCGGUUCAAUUGGAGUCAACGCCAGAAAUCUUACCCGGAGAGACAGCAGAAUGAAGGUCAAGCUGACGAGUUUACCAGACAAGCUGAGAGGUGGUGCAUGGCCGUCGCCAGCUCGUGCUGUGAGAUGUCCUGUUAAGUCAGGUAACGAAACAGAUGCUUCCCAUUAGUGGAUAUCAUUAGUCUCAGGAAUAGUGGGUUGAAUUAGUGGGAAUGCCGUUGUUAAAACGGAGGAAGGAAGGGGCUAGGGCAGGUCAGUAUGACCCGAAAUUCUGGGGCCACACGCGGGCGCAAUGGUAGUGACAAUGAGUUCCAAACUCGAAAGAAAGAGGCAAUCUUUGAACACUGCCCCAGUUAUGACUGAGGGAUGCAACUUGCCCUCACGCAUAUGGAAUCCCUUGUUACCCCGUGUCAUUUCCGCGCGGUGAAUACGUCCCUGCUCCUUGCACACUCCGCCCGUUGUUUCAUCGAA
This 936-nucleotide ribosomal RNA is filed under the name uncultured Nitrososphaerota archaeon. Its description in RNAcentral is "bacterial SSU rRNA". It matches the Rfam family "Archaeal small subunit ribosomal RNA", at positions 430 to 1365 of the family's 1478-position model. The record is from RNAcentral. Lineage: Archaea; Thermoproteati; Nitrososphaerota.